ACCCACUUUCAAUAGGAAAAUCUUUCAACUCCUCAUGUCGCCAUUUCAAAUCUCUCGUGAUGGUUUAUUGUUCCAUUCCUUCAGCUCCCCCAAAUCUAACAGUCAAUUAAAUUCAAUCUUAAGAUCUCUCUCCAAGCCCUUUCUCAAAAAAGAAAGUUUAUCUCUCUCCCCUUCUUUAUAUGUUUCACUAUUAUCUCCCUUCCUUCGCAUUAGACUCUCUGUAUCUCCCCAAAACUCUCUCU
Molecule: long non-coding RNA, 242 nt
Filed under: Brassica napus (rape)
Lineage: Eukaryota; Viridiplantae; Streptophyta; Magnoliopsida; Brassicales; Brassicaceae
Description: long non-coding RNA (BNAP_LNC010960)
Source: RNAcentral